RNAcentral lists this ribosomal RNA (414 nucleotides) under uncultured bacterium. RNAcentral describes it as "bacterial SSU rRNA". It matches the Rfam family "Bacterial small subunit ribosomal RNA", at positions 355 to 786 of the family's 1533-position model. The record is from RNAcentral.
UAGGGAAUAUUGCACAAUGGGGAAAGCCCUGAUGCAGCGACGCCGCGUGAGCGAUGAAGUAUUUCGGUAUGUAAAGCUCUAUCAGCAGGGAAGAAAAUGACGGUACCUGACUAAGAAGCCCCGGCUAACUACGUGCCAGCAGCCGCGGUAAUACGUAGGGGGCAAGCGUUAUCCGGAUUUACUGGGUGUAAAGGGAGCGCAGGCGGUUCUGCAAGUCUGGUGUGAAAGCCCGGGGCCCAACCCCGGGACUGCAUUGGAAACUGCGGGACUUGAGUGUCGGAGGGGCAAGUGGAAUUCCUAGUGUAGCGGUGAAAUGCGUAGAUAUUAGGAGGAACACCAGUGGCGAAGGCGGCUUACUGGACGGUAACUGACGUUGAGGCUCGAAAGCGUGGGGAGCAAACAGGAUUAGAUACC